RNAcentral lists this ribosomal RNA (253 nucleotides) under uncultured bacterium. Its description in RNAcentral is "partial 16S ribosomal RNA". It matches the Rfam family "Bacterial small subunit ribosomal RNA", at positions 524 to 776 of the family's 1533-position model. The record is from RNAcentral.
UACGUAGGGUGCGAGCGUUGUCCGGAAUUAUUGGGCGUAAAGAGCUCGUAGGCGGUUUGUCGCGUCUGCUGUGAAAACUCGGGGCUUAACCCCGGGCCUGCAGUGGGUACGGGCAGACUAGAGUGCGGUAGGGGAGACUGGAAUUCCUGGUGUAGCGGUGAAAUGCGCAGAUAUCAGGAGGAACACCGGUGGCGAAGGCGGGUCUCUGGGCCGUAACUGACGCUGAGGCACGAAGGCCAGGGGAGCAAACGGG